RNAcentral lists this ribosomal RNA (447 nucleotides) under uncultured organism. RNAcentral's name for it is "partial 16S ribosomal RNA". It matches the Rfam family "Bacterial small subunit ribosomal RNA", at positions 332 to 796 of the family's 1533-position model. The record is from RNAcentral.
UACACUCCUACGGGAGGCAGCAGUGGGGAAUAUUGGACAAUGGGCGCAAGCCUGAUCCAGCCAUGCCGCGUGAGUGAUGAAGGCCCUAGGGUUGUAAAGCUCUUUCACCGGUGAAGAUAAUGACGGUAACCGGAGAAGAAGCCCCGGCUAACUUCGUGCCAGCAGCCGCGGUAAUACGAAGGGGGCUAGCGUUGUUCGGAUUUACUGGGCGUAAAGCGCACGUAGGCGGACUAUUGAGUCAGGGGUGAAAUCCCGGGGCUCAACCCCGGAACUGCCUUUGAUACUGGUAGUCUUGAGUUCGAGAGAGGUGAGUGGAAUUCCGAGUGUAGAGGUGAAAUUCGUAGAUAUUCGGAGGAACACCAGUGGCGAAGGCGGCUCACUGGCUCGAUACUGACGCUGAGGUGCGAAAGCGUGGGGAGCAAACAGGAUUAGAAACCCGAGUAGUCC